Molecule: ribosomal RNA, 405 nt
Filed under: uncultured bacterium
Lineage: Bacteria
Description: partial 16S ribosomal RNA
Rfam family: Bacterial small subunit ribosomal RNA
Source: RNAcentral
AUUGAACGCUAGCGGGAGGCCUUACACAUGCAAGUCGAACGAGUGGCGGACGGGUGAGUAAUAUAUCGGAACGGGACCAGUAGCGGGGGAUAACUACUCGAAAGAGUGGCUAAUACCGCAUACAAUUGGAGCGGCCGAUAUCGGAUUUGCUAGUUGGUGGGGUAAAGGAUCACCAAGGCAACGAUCCGUAGCUGGUGUGAGAGGACGACCAGCCACACUGGGACUGAGACACGGCCCAGACUCCUACGGGAGGCAGCAGUGGGGAAUUUUGGACAAUGGGGGAAACCCUGAUCCAGCCAUCCCGCGUGUAUGAGAAGGCCUUCGGGUUGUAAAGUACUUUUGGCAGGGAAGCGUUAUCUGCAGAAUAAGCACCGGCUAACUACGUGCCAGCAGCCGCGGUAAUAC